UUCACUCUGAUAACUCCCCCCAUGACUCGAGGGAGCAGGAAUGCAUAUUUCCGAGGUGCCGCUGCUUUGCCUCGUGGCUGUGACGGGCUCUGGAGAGAGGACAUUUCCCAGGAUCAAUCUACUGCUCGUAGGACUCUGCUCAUCACUUUCAGCUCUUGCGUAGCCCUUUUGUGCAGAUGGGAAUGGCUUUGUGCAAGAGCAACGGCCAAAGAGCAUUGUUGAAGAGUGGCAUGCACCCAAAAAGAAAGGAAACCUGGGCUCACUGCUAGAGCAGACAUGGGAAGAUCAACACUUUGGCAGCAUGAGCACACUGCAGAUCUGGAAACAGCACUAAACCUGUCCCAGCUGCACAUGGGAAAAGGGUUACAGGAGGCAUUCAAUCGCUGCAUUCUUCAGGUUUUAAUUGCUGGAGAGAUGGAGAAUUCUUUUUUCCAGGACUGUGUUUGUGUUAUAUGCAAUGAUAGGACCGUGGCAUUUGCUCUGACACACACGUGGAUGCCCUUUGCAUGGCCAUGCCUUUGUGCACACCUUUCUCUCCACACUGAGCCCGAGAACUUCUCCCAGCAAGAACCAGAAAACCUCAAGUGA
This 588-nucleotide long non-coding RNA is filed under the name Numida meleagris (helmeted guineafowl). Its description in RNAcentral is "lncRNA (ENSNMEG00000012128.1)". Lineage: Eukaryota; Metazoa; Chordata; Aves; Galliformes; Numididae. The record is from RNAcentral.